Long non-coding RNA from Biomphalaria glabrata, 493 nucleotides. RefSeq lists it as uncharacterized. NCBI's taxonomy places the organism in Eukaryota, Metazoa, Mollusca, Gastropoda, Planorbidae. The transcript is spliced from 4 exons. The record is from RefSeq and is a predicted model, not a curated record.
CCGGUCUGUAGCUGUUCUUAAAAGAUUGAAAAAUAAGUGUGAUAGGUCUAUUAUUUCACGUUGUCCAUCCAGCUUUUCUUUCGUAGACCUUUCUUCGUGCUACAGCAAACUGUGCAUUGAAAGAAGAAUUUUGUCAACAACAUGAAGCUACUUUACAUCCUAUUAAGUUGUGUACUUCUGCUUGGAGUCAGUCAGACAAGUGCAGCUCCACCAGCACCACAACGUCGUGACAUAAGGGCUCCUAAGAGAGUUCCCUAUCCAUACAAAAGAUUUGUGCUUUUACCCGACGGAAGAUCUCUGCGUGAAUUGGAAGGUUACGACUGGGAUGAGGAUUAACAACAAAACUGUGCAUGGUCUUCGUGGAAACAUCUGAUUGGAUAGUGUGUCAAGAUCUACACAUCACCUCCAGAAUGAUUGUGAUACAAAAAAAAAAAAUAUAAAGACCUAAAUAAAGCCGUUUUGUUUUCAAUAAAUAAAUAAAACAUUAUGUGUG